CGCCCCUGGUGAUAGGUGAGGGAGUCUCCUGUGAAAAGAGGUGCUGUUAAAGGUGAUGGAGUCUGAGUUAUCUGGCCUUUUCACAAGGAAAUUGGGAUAUUCUGGGUUUGUGGUAACCAUUCCAAUCAAAGGCUCAGACAGCUGGCAGUCUGGGGAUAACGUUAACUGGAAUUGUUCACAGCUGGCUCAUCUGAGGUCCUCUGCUGUCUGUUUAGGAUCAGUGCAGACCAUAGCAAAUCUUAGAGGCUUCUUGGCUUUGUCAGAUAAAGUGCUUGGAUAUGUGUUUGGAUCUGAAUUGCAGUGUUUCAGAAAUUAAUUCAAUCCCAAAUUUUGGCAUCCCUGACUUCCCAAGGCUUGGCUCUGCUAUAUAACUUCAGGAUGCUUUCAGCCUCCUUCUUUCCUGUUAGCCAAAGGGAGCUUUUUCUCUCAAAGCAGACCAGACAUUCAUCUCUUGAACCAAGAUGCUUGGCCACCUUUUCUCUCUUUGGAUAAGGAAAAGAAGCUUUUUGGAAGGUGUGUGAUGUCUUAUUCCACCAAAGCCUCUAACUUGAUACUGGAUAACUAGACAGCUGUUUUCUUGUGAAAGAAAAUCCAGAGUAAAAUAUGGUGAAUUGAGUGAUGUAUUUACAGGAGACAUUAUAAAUAUGCUCCUUGGUAAUCCCUAAGGACAUAUGAAGUGGACCCAUGCUGGCUGGGUGCAAUCCAGCUAUGGAGGGACUAUUACUGCCAUCCUUGGCAGUAGGCUGGGUGCCUUGUGCUCUGGGAUUUGAGGUUAGAGCAAGUGCUUUGUUGCACACCAAGAUUCCUGUCACCUCUCUUCCAGUGGCAACUAACUGCUAUUGAAUAGGGAAAUUCCUGCAUCUUGGGUGGGGUUCCACCUAGUACAUGGUGGAACCUCACCAUGGAGGCUUGCACUGGGCAUUUCUAUCCCAGAUGAAGGGUCUACAGCUGUACCCCUUCUCCCUUCUUGAGGAAGAGACCCCCUGUGCCCUCCCUCUGGCACCCACUCUCUUCUGGUGGGCAAUUUUAACUCCUCUGAAUCAACCAGGUAAGCAGGUGUGUCAGUGUCCUUGCAAAACUGGGCAGUGUUUGGCCUUUAUGUGAGGAAAUGACUCAGAGGGUUUCAGAUUUUUCCAUAGCUGUGGAAAGGCAAUAAAUACAGCCUCCAGCAUGACAUAAAUAGCCAGCUGUGGCUAUUGCCAAGUGAGAUGACACCUCUGAUGGUUGACCUGGUUAUUUGAACAGCAAUGUCUCUGAUAUUAAAUAUCUAAUCCCCAAUGGAAAAUCCUGUGUCCUUAGUGGGAUUUAUCAGCCUGGUUUAAAUGAUGGACUGCAGGAAGGCAGAAAGGACUCUGGGUUUUUGUCUCACUGCUCUGACAAGUGAGAUUUCAUGUUGGGAUUUCCUUUAGUGUCUUGGACCAAGCAGUCACAGGAUUUCCCAAGACCCUUGCUAGCACUGAGGCUGUACCUGAAGUGCCAUUGUAGUCCCCAAUCCUCAGUUUGUAGAGGCUCCGGGAAUCACCAAUGGAGAACUUGUCAUAGUAGGCAUAUGCUGCCUCCUGACCAUCCCUCAUGUCUAUUCGCAGCUCGUAGCGCCCUUGGGAUGUGAUCUUGUGGAUGUUGUCCAAGCCUGUCGAGACAGUGAAACACCCAGUGAGGCCUGGGGCUGGAUCCGCUCCGUGAACAAACAAGGAAAGCUCUAGGCAAAUAAAACAGUAGUGGGAAAUGAGAGCAAGGAGAGGAAUCAAAGAGCAGCAGCACUUGUGGUUUCCAAAGCCAACCCGGUAAUCUGCCCAUUUCCGGAAGAAAUCGGUCAGCCCGUUCUGCCGCCGCUGGAAGACCUGAUGUGGAGGAAGACCAGGGGGAAAAUCACAGUGAUGGAAAUGAGAAACAGCUUUGCCAGGCUUUGGACACACAAGAUUCCUGAGCCCUUGAAGGUCCUGGGAAGGCAGAGUCAACAUGGAAGAACCUGGUGUCCUGCCAUACUGAAGAACUUCAAGAUGAAUGAGAGAACAUUUUUGCACAUAAUUCUUUUCUUUGCUCAAAAUAUGCCAGCAGAGCAGCAAAUCCAUGAGCUCUAUUUGCCACCUGGACAGAUCCUUGCUGCAGGUGCAUUACUUGGCGGUGCACCCAGACCCACAGGGGAAGACGAGCUCUAUCCCAAGGAAAACCUUCUCUCCAGUAAGCCCCAAGCCCUGCUGUUUGGUGCAGAUGACCAACUGGAAAAUCAGAUUUAUUUGGAGUUCAGGCCCGUGCUCAUCCUCGAUGCUGACCAACAAACCAUCAGGAGACAGAGUGUGCUGCCUUGGCAUGGCAGGAGCAAGCAGGUACUUGCUAGCAUCCAGCAGUCCCUGAACCAGGUGGUUAGAGCUGGGAUGUGUUCCCUGCUGGAGCACAACUGGCAGGAGCCAGGCCUCCGAGGUGGAUUUGCUCCCACUGCUGUCAGUGGUGGGGGUGGUGAUGUGGGAGUCCUCUGGGUGUAUUGUUUGGAUUUUAUGUUGAAAAGUCUCCUGCAGGCUUUCCAUAAGCCAAAACCACCUGCUGGUGGAUGGUUUCCAAGGCUGCCAAAGCCAAGUGCAGAUGGUGCCUGUUCCAUGCAGCUUUCCUCUUGGGCUCACUGGGAAGGAAAUUCAGCUCCACGGUAUCCCUGGUUGGCUUCCCAGCCUCAGACUUUUCACUCCAAGGCGAUCACACAGCUGGAAAACUGACCUGGAUUGCAUUGCAAGCUGAGAAUCCCAGCUCUGGAGUUUUUUGGAUCUCCAAAGUGAGGCUGCAGUACUCAUUGCCCCCAUCCCUCAGCAUCAUUAUUGCCUUGGCACUGAAAUCUCUCCUGGGUGCCAUGCCCCUCAGCCAUGGCAGGUGAGGGUGUGUACAUGGCAAGGCACACACCAAGCACUGGCACCCAGGGAAGGGCUGAAUCACCAUCCCUGGAGGGAUUUUAAAAAACUUGUAUAUCUGGCACCGAGGGACAUCGUUUAGUGGUGGGCUUGGCAGUGCCAAAUUAAUGGCUGGACCCUGAUCUUAGAGGUCUUUUCCAACCCAAAUGAUUCUAGGAUUCUCAGACCCUGUGGUGUGUGCCUUGCUUUUGCUUUGCUUUCUGAUUCAGCAAGAAAACUCUUGUGAUUUUCCUGUCCCACUGGAAAGAACUUGCACUUCCCACUGGAAAGAAGAGCUGCUUCAUUGCAGCAGCUGCUAACGGAGAAAUAGUGUAAAUAAUUCUCCUCAGCAGCUGAAACUGCUGCAAAUUUGUGUCAUCAGACUGGUCUGCAGCAGUAGGAUCCUC
Passer domesticus (house sparrow) is the source of this 3283-nucleotide long non-coding RNA. RefSeq lists it as uncharacterized. The transcript has 5 exons. Lineage: Eukaryota; Metazoa; Chordata; Aves; Passeriformes; Passeridae. The record is from RefSeq and is a predicted model, not a curated record.